ACUUGAAUAGCUUAUUUUUAUUUAGAGCGCGACACUGAAGAUGUUGAUGUGGUAUUUUGUUACCUUUAAGUG
Molecule: transfer RNA, 72 nt
Filed under: Microtermes sp. C TB-2017
Lineage: Eukaryota; Metazoa; Arthropoda; Insecta; Blattodea; Termitidae
Description: tRNA-Phe
Source: RNAcentral